AAUUUUUCGCAAUGGGGGAAACCCUGACGAAGCAACGCCGCGUGGAGGAUGAAGGCCUUCGGGUCGUAAACUCCUGUCGACCGGGACGAACGUAGCUGGGUCCAAUACACCCGGCUAUCGACUGUACCGGUGGAGGAAGCCACGGCUAACUCUGUGCCAGCAGCCGCGGUAAUACAGAGGUCCCGAGCGUUGUUCGGAUUCACUGGGCGUAAAGGGUGCGUAGGUGGCAUGGUAAGUUUGAUGUGAAAGCUCAGGGCUUAACCCUGAAAUGGCAUUGAAUACUACUGUGCUGGAGGUUUGGAGGGGGGACUGGAAUUCUCGGUGUAGCAGUGAAAUGCGUAGAUAUCGAGAGGAACACCAGUGGCGAAGGCGAGUCCCUGGACAACACCUGACACUGAGGCACGAAAGCUAGGGGAGCAAAC
This 422-nucleotide ribosomal RNA is filed under the name uncultured bacterium. RNAcentral's name for it is "bacterial SSU rRNA". It matches the Rfam family "Bacterial small subunit ribosomal RNA", at positions 360 to 773 of the family's 1533-position model. The record is from RNAcentral.